Molecule: long non-coding RNA, 975 nt
Filed under: Homo sapiens (human)
Lineage: Eukaryota; Metazoa; Chordata; Mammalia; Primates; Hominidae
Description: non-protein coding lnc-CYBB-2:1
Source: RNAcentral
UACCAUUCAGGACAUAGGCAUGAGCAAGGACUUCAUGUCUAAAACACCAAAAGCAAUGGCAACAAAAGCCAAAAUUGACAAAUGGGAUCUAAUUAAACUAAAGAGCUUCUGCACAGCAAAAGAAACUACCAUCAGAGUGAACAGGCAACCUACAGAAUGGGAGAAAAUUUUUGCAAUCUACUCAUCUGACAGAGGGCUAAUAUCCAGAAUCUACAAAGAACUCAAACAAAUUUACAAGAAAAAAAGCAAACAACCCCAUCAACAAGUGGGCAAAGGAUAUGAACAGAUACUUCUCGAAAGAAGACAUUUAUGCAGCCAAAAGACACAUGAAAAAAUGCCCAUCAUCACUGGGCAUCAGAGAAAAUCAAAUCAAAAUGACAAUGAGAUACCAUCUCACACCAGUUAGAAUGGUGAUCAUUAAAAAGUCAGGAAACAAAGUUGCUUUAGCACUUUUUUCUUUGUAAAGAGAGAAUAUUAUCAAGUGUCUAGAGCAUAUAAUAGCUUCAAAGCAUAGUUGAGAAAAGAUCACUAUGGAGCUGAAGGUAGAGAACUGGGUAGUGUGACCACUUGAUCCAGUCAGUGCUUAGGAUAAAAUGAACUGUCAUGAUCUAGAAAGCUGUUUUUGUUGUAAAUCCCAAGCCCCUCACUAUGCUCAAUAUUCUCUCCUUGAAGCAUUAAGUAAAACUAAUCAAGGAAAAUGGAAGGCUUGGCAUUUUAGCUGAUGAGAAUUCACUAGCUGGAUUACUGUGUGGUAGAGGGAGGUGAUUAGCACCUGUGAGAACAGAACGCAGUGUCAUACUGGUGGAGGGAAAGCAAUAGUAAUAUGUUCCCUUCCUUUCUCAUUUUAAGUGGAGUGGCCUGCUAUCAGCAAAUUUUGAAAAAACACACAAAACCACCUAUACCUCAACAGUAGCAAUGAAGUAGCACACACGUACACGUUUACACACACACACAUAUAUAUAUGAUAGAUAUGCA